ACCCAGUCCUGAUUGGGGCUAAUAGGGGUCAGUCGGGGAGGGACUGCAGGAGGGCUCCCUGGCAUGUCGGGACAUCCCACCCAGGCCCAAUCAGCCAGACCCCAGCAGCAACCUAACGUACCAGUUGGAGCGUCUACCCCCUGGUGGUCAGUGGGCGUUACAGCGACUGGUUGAAACACAGCAUAUUACGCUUUUAUUAUAUAGGAUUCUUAAAGUUUCUUAUUCAUUAAUUUUGAUAUGUUUUUCUUCCUAUAAUUUGGCUACACACUAAAAUAUAGGGUUUUGAGUUUAAUGUUUCAAAAAGUGAGGAUUGUUGGUUAUUUUUUUAAACUAUAAAUUGCAUAUAUUUAAAAUUACCCCUGUACUCAGAAGUGGUAAUUGACUAGAAUACACUUUCUAGUAAAAGGAAAUUAUGUAAAUCAUUACGAGAUCAAUCUGAAUUUAACCUAUAAUGGUAAUGCCAGAUAAUAGCCAGUGUCUCCUGCCCAUUCUCUAGAUGAAAUAAAAUUACUGGCUGAUAUAAAUUUCAUUUUUUGUCUGUGGUUUAGCUAUGAUACUGGUUACCCAUGCUCGUGAAGUCCUUCCUGGCUCUCACAUCAGAGAGGCAGUUUGUAAGACAUUUUAAAAAUAUUUCCAGACAUGCAAACAUCUGGGCAGGUUUGAGUCAUGAUUGGCUCAGGCACACUCCCAGGUGAUGUUUUGUUGUUUGGAGAAAACUUCCAAUACAAUUGUAGCUGGACUUGGGGACUGUGCCUAGAAGCAUGUAUUACUGGCUCUAGGCCAUGCAAUGAGACAUUGCCCCAGGGUGUCAGCAGUCCUUACAACCCAUAGACAAAAAAUUAAAAUGGAGAGAGAGUCAAUGGGAACUGCACCUCUCAUCACAAUGGUCAAGGCAUCACUCUGAGUUCUUAUAUCCAAGCCCUCAGUGACUGAGCUCAGGAAGCUCCUAUGAGAGGCAUGAUGGGCAAUGUGGCAAAACACCCAGUAUACACCCUAACACAUCAUCUUCCCUAUGGUAGUGGUUCAGGAAGUGCAGCCUCAGAAAGAUCUUGAAUUUUGCAAUUAUUCCUUGAGAUGGUUCCAACCUCAUUCGGGAGGAUUUGUUGUGGCUUCCAGUAUUGUGUUACCAUUUUCAGUGGGAUCAUUCUGAAAGAGGACUGGAGCUGGGGGUUGGGGUGGGAGGGCAGGCAUGGGGAAGUAAGAAAGUGAUUUCUUUGCAGAUUGUAAAGCCUAAUGCCUGCAGUCUUUUGUUGUUGAGGACUGUGGAAUACGUGGGUGACUUUGGCUGGCAGAGUGUGUGAGUCAGGAUUUCUAUAUGAAUGAGCUCUUGGGUGUCAAAUGGAUUUGAUAAGUAUGCAGUGUGUGACUAAGGGUUAAGGGGAAACACAAAAGGGAAGAUCAGAGGACAGUAAAAAAUAGAGAGGAUGGGUAUGUGAAAAACCAUUAGGCAAAAAAACCCAAGAAAUAUAUGAACACUGGAGGAAGUUAGACAGGGAUCAGUUACCCUAUAGAAUAGCCUAUUAUUGAUUCAGGAAGAAUUGGGACAAGCUGUACAUGAUUUCUGUUUUCUACUGCUGGUUCUUUGUGCUUUUUGAACAAACGUUUUGUUUUACUGUGAAUCUCAUGUCAUUUUGUGGUUUGUGUUGAGGCCAGCUUACCAGUGGUGUAAGUUGCAUGUUCUAAAGGUUUAUAAGUUGUCAGGUUUUCGCCUGCUUGAGGGCCCUCCUUGAACGAUGUCGAGGCAAUCAGGGAAUGAUCUGCUCGGCUGAGUGAAUAGGUUUGAGCUAUUUGUUUUU
Molecule: long non-coding RNA, 1796 nt
Organism: Myotis davidii
Lineage: Eukaryota; Metazoa; Chordata; Mammalia; Chiroptera; Vespertilionidae
Exons: 2
Source: RefSeq, a predicted model, not a curated record